GUCUCCUGGCCCAGUCGCCGCCCCGGUGCGUCUCUCCCCAGCUCCGGCGGCUUGGUCACUGCUCCUGGCUGUUGGCUGAGCUCUGGAAGCCCCCUCGCCUUAAUGCAGCGCCCGCUGACGUCACUGCGGCCUGCGACCAAUCAGCGCCUCGCGGUCCCUCUGUAAACCAUUCUGCAUCCCCCGGCCCGGGAGAGUGCGGGGAGACCGCGUUUAGAGGAUCAGUGGCGGCGGCACCCGCGGCCCCGCGCGGCGCGGACGGCGGGCAGCACCGUGCCUGGGCCCCCUCCUGCUCCGGUUCCAGAAUGACGCUCGGCCCAUGGACAGAGCCUGCCCAGUCACUCUCGGCUGCUAUUGAUCCCGAGGAUGAUGGCCGCCCCUAGCCAUUUCCCUCCUCUCUCUUCGGUUCCAGAACAGCCCAAGGAGCAGAAAAGAGUGACAAGGCCGUGAAAGGAGGCGCCUGGGGCGUAGCCGGCUCUAGGAGGUUACCCCAUGCGGAGUACACACCCUGCUACACCCAUCCCGGAGGAGGGAGGAAAUAGCCAGCCCGGAGCACCCCUGGACUCUGCCGGUCCCAGAGGCCACGCAAACUCCGCCCAGACUCGGUGAGGCCGCGGUAAUGCCACGCAGGGAACUGCGUGGAUAAGGUCGCUCGGAUCUGAGCGCCAAGGUCUCCCGCCUCUCCUUCCCGUCUAGUUCUCUCCGGACUCAAAUUGCCUUAAUCUCACCCAUCACUCUCUCAUGGAAAUGAUCUACUCGUGUGCAGUACUUCACAGCUUGUAUCACGGUCUCCCCUGAACCGUAUAGCAAGAGGGUGGUGGGGGGUGGAAGAGAAGGGUACUAUCUCCACUUUCCCGGCCAGGAGGCCCAAGUUAGGAGGCUUGUCCGAGAUCCCUAGGUCAGAGCACUAUUUAAGGUGAGAAGUUGGGUGGGGAGCUUGGCACCUUGCUCCAGUGUGCACUUUGCGCCUGGCCAUGUUUUAUAAGCAAGGGGGGCUUGGGCUGGUUAAGGGGGAGCAGGGACCGCAGGGCCAGGAAAGGGCAGCAUCCGGCAGGCCGGGGCGUCACGGUAUGUGCCUGGCCUGGGUAAACAACUCUGGCUUCCCACGAGCGCUGGAGGGACCCUGGGCAUGGGGCAGGGGCGUGGGGGAGGGGGGGCAGGGGCGUGGGGUGGGGCAGGGAGCGGGUGGAACAGCGAGGUCAAGCGUGGAGAUUCCAGUUGCGAGUCAGCUCCGCGCCGCGGAGCAAAGACAGGACGUGGAUAAUCUUGGGAGGGAGACGCUGAGCUGAAGAACAGAAAAGAGAGACAGAGGCAGAAGUGAGGAGAGAGGGACAGGAAAAGAAAAUAAAGGCAGAAAACCAGAGAAAAGAUGAGACGGAGUGCGGAAAAGCAGGCGGGGAUAAAGAAAGGAAAGAUCUGUCGGGGAAAUGCGGGGAGAAGUGGAGGAAAAGAAACAGAAAUUAGACCCAGAGAGAGACCCUGCCACGAAGAAGGCCGCGGGGACGGGCGCGGAGCCGAGGGCCCUGCAGGCACGGAGGGGGCGUCCCGCGGGUCUGGGGGUGUGCGGCUUUGGGACAGGCGAGUGCGUGCUGAGAGAAAGAGGCAGCGUGUUUGGUGGGAGACUCUGCGCCCGUGGAAAAGCGGCUCUGGGCAGGAAUCCAACAAAUAAAUAAAACGUCUAAGACGGCGUGACAACAAUGUGUAUUUGGGUGCGUGCCCGUGUUCCUCUGUCUGAACACCCAGUAAGGAAGACAAACGGGGCUCGUGCCUCACAGUAAUUAAUCCUCUCACUAAUUGACUCUCUCCCCUUACCUAAUGGCGGUGGUCACUGCCGAUAUCUGGAGAGACAUCAAGUUGGGGGAGACAGAGAGAGAGAACCCCAAAGCUAACGACCUUUGGGACUGAGAUUGAGUUUUUUCUGGACUUGGCAGCUCUAAGCCCUGCCCCCACCUCCACUUUUGGGCAGAGUUCCAUAGAUAUUGCUGCCUUCCUUCCCCCUCCAGGUUUUGGGCAGCAUUAAUAAAGAUCUCCUCAGAUUAGGGUGAUGUGGUUACACACACUGAAGCCCUUCUACCGCCCUCCACCUUGGGAGAUCAGUUUCAGAGGCUGAAAGCCACCCCUGUCCCUGGGACAUUUCUUACCUCCCUGCAAUACCAGCUCCCCCUCCCAUGUUGUUCCCCCAGGGGCCCAGACCCUGCACCCUCUUCUUUCAGGCAGUACUAACUCUUCCAAGGACCUGGGCGGUGUCCCGCAGUCCCCUAAGGCAGGUGAGGUUUUGAACGGGCUGAGAAGCAGUCUGGGGUUGAUGGAAGGAGAGUGGUGGGAGGUCAGGGCAAGGAUGGGGAGAGGCUUCCAGAGACAACCUUCCUCAGACUUGGGUUGAGAGACACAGAGGCGCAGAGAGGCGCAGUUGCCACCAGGCAAGAGAGAGGCCUCUAGGGACAAAGGAGGGAAAGGUGGGCUCUAUGCACUGUGGGAAGGAGCGCCAAGUGUGUGAGAGGCAGGAAGGUGGUCAUGUCUCUGUGACUGUGAGGGUGACAGUUCUGGUCUCUCUGUGUGAGCAUGGGGAAGCCCCCUAUGUUCCCUCACAGCACCCUCAGUUCUUAGACUGGGGAGAAGAGGCAGGGGACUGGUCUGGGACUUGAUGGUCCCCUUGGUAGCUGAGUUGGCUGGAAGGGGUCCAACGCCCACAGUCUGUCUGGUAAUGCAGCUUUGAGGCUUAGGUUUGGGAGGUGAAUGUCAACUCUCACCCCUGUGAGGUGGCAGCUUUGCUCUGUUGGCCUCCUCAGAGGCUAAAUAAAGAAAUGCUGAGAUCUAUAAACCACCCAGCCCAGAGAGAAAAAGGAGGGAGGAAGGGCAGCUCCCUAGAAAAAAAUCCACCCCCUCCCCACCACUAAACACAUUUUUAAUUGUCCCUUGGGAACAUUUGUACAUUUGACCAAAGCAAAUCUCAAAGCAGCAGCAGCAAAAUGAGUCAGAGGGGCUGGUGGUCCAGAGAGAGCUGGGGAUCGGAGAUGGGGAGGUGAGGAGAGGUGGCAGGCAUGUUUGGGAAGGUGAGAAACUUGGUUCCUUUCCCACCAUCUCUGUCAAGCUUUAGAAAGAAAGUGAGCAGGAGAAAUAAAGUUCCAGGGGAAAGAAAGAGAAGGGCAUAUAAAAGGCAAAUCCAACCCAGAAAGGAAAGAAAGUGAAGAAGAAAGAAAAAGGCAGGGAGGGGGGAGAGACUAUAAUAAAAGAGGGUGAAGGCGGCCCCAGGAGGCUGGGCCUCGUCCCAAACCAUCCGUCUUCAUUGUCUCCGUGUGUGCAAAGGCAACUCUGGCAUAAGGAAAACCCACUAUUGGAGCCGAGGCUUUAUUUUAUAUCCUAUACAUCAGGAGGGAGGCAAAGCUUUAUUUUCGCCAAGAGACAGAUAUUUUAUUUCUCUCUUACGGUUUUAUGUGUGAGAGAUGUCAGGUUGCCACAAUGGAUGGCUAAUGCAUAGGCAAGAGGAAGCCGUGUUGGCAUGCUGUGUGUCAUGGGGUCUUGUGGGGGUGAGCGGGCCUGGGAUUUAGGGCUGAUGGGACACUCUGGGGGAUUUCUGCUAAAACAUCUCUCUUCAUAAAUCCAGAAGCAUGGUCAGCUCAACAGGGAGAAGAAGGAGUUUUAGAGGGGAAAGAGUUGGGCUUAGUAAUAAACGAACACACAAAGGAACCGCUUACCUUCCAACAGCCUCGGGCAACAGGGGCACGACAGCCCCAUGGAAAUGCAGACACCCAUGUCCACGCACACAAGCGCCAUUCACAGGGAAGUAUUUUCCUGACACAAAAUCCAAUGUCAGUUUCCUUUCCUUUCCCCGUUUUAUAUUUUUCCACCCCCCUUCACCAGAAAUCUUUUUUAACCUCCUCAGAGCCUUGGGGGAAAAGAGCCAUUAAUUUGCAAAUCAUCUGAUCUGUGAAAGGAUCAAGAUGCCUGGUUUUCACUGCUAAAUCCAACGUCUUGAGUGGACACAGAGGCACACACAAGCCCGUCAUGCUGCCAACCCUUGGGAGCAUAGGUGCCAGAUCUGAAGCCAAGAAAAGACUCCCUCUCCUCCCGGGACCUGCAGCUGAAUUAAGCCUUAGAUUCCAAACUGCAUAAUGUUCAUAUUUUUAAACCUGGAGAGAAGUGGAGAGAUGAAGGGGGACAAAAAGAGGGGGAACUUUGUUAAUUAACGUGUUCCAUUCAGGACUUAGACUAAUUGUCUUCCCCACUUCCAGCCGCCCCCCAACCCAAGCCAUUUCUUACAGGAGUUGCUUUUAUUCAUUCUCAUGUUCUACUUUUCUCAUUUUUGGAUUAAUAUCUACUUGUUUAAUAUCUACUGUGGCGCAAAAACGUGACCACGCUCUUUCUUUUCAGAGGGUUGGAAGCAGCACAGGAUUCCUAGACAAGGAGCUUGGAGACUUGGCUACACUGUCCCUGGCCAUUAGGGAAGACGUUUAGCCUUUCCGGGCCUCAGUUUUCUCAUCUGUAACAUGAGGGGAUUCGGCUAAAUGAUUACUGAGGUCCCUUCCAGCUCCGACCUCCUCUGGCCGAAUGAGAUAAUGUGUGAAAACACUUUGUGAACACUAACACCGGACAGAUGCCAGGGAUCAUUAUUGCAAUUCUAAUCAAUCCUCUUUUCUCCACAUGGAUCUUGGCUGUUUAGUGCCAGCAAGCAGGCUAAAGGGGGCUGAAAGCAAGAAAGCUUAGCGGACAUGGAAAAGCUCUGUGCAGUGGGAGGGAAAAAAAAAACCCUGCAUCUCCAGAAACAUUGUGUCUCUGUGUGCCCCCUGAGGCCUAGUGGGAAGGGUUGGGGAGGAGGAGGCCUGACUUGGUAUGACCCAUUUUGGUCUACAUGGCGGCAGAGAGUGUAUUUCUUCAAAAGCAUUGUUGGUCUCCAAGUGACUGACAUGGGAACCUGAUGGGAAGGCGAUUUGCAAUUGUUUUUUUCCAGGAAGAAAGAAAGAGCAAGGUGUAGCUGAUUAGCAAGUUAAUUAUUUCAGUACCCCAAGGGUUCCAGUGUGGUGGAGACAGGCCCUGGCACCAGGCUCUGGAGACCCCACUUCCUGACUCCAGCGGUGCGAAGAUGAUACAAUACUUUCUGGUGCUGACAUUCAGCUGUCUCCCAAACAGGUUGGCUGAUAGCCCUGCCCGUCCUUGAAGAGGGGCCGGGGGCUGUCUAAAAAGACAGUUCUGAUGACUGCUUCGUUGGUAGUGGCAGAGGAUUUGGGGCACAGGGGUGGAGUUAAGUCCAAUUGCUGUUUAAAUUGGACUUGGCCUCCUUUAUUUUACAGUCCUAAGGGGUCUCCAUAGGAGAAAAAGUAGCGAGAGAAACUUAGAACACAGGAAAGCAAGCAUAGGGAAGAGUUUCUUGUCUCAAUCUUGGUACUGCCGUGCCAAAAUGAAGCCCAGGGAUGGUUAAAAACGGAUCCUAGGGACCGGGCACCUUGGCUCAGGCCUGUAAUCCCAGCACUUUGGGAGAUCAAGAUGGGAGGAUUGCUUGAGGCUAGGAGUUCGAGGCCAGCCUGGCCAACAUAGUGAGACCUCAUCUCCAAAAAUAAAAACUUAAAAAAAAAUUUAAAAAACAAAAACAAAAAUACAGAUCCUAGGGAACAGAGUUUUGAGGUUCCCUGUGGGAUCUUGGCCUGACUCUUGGGAGAUGAAGAAGUCCUUGGCAAGUUUGAAAAGAUCUACAAGUGCCAUCUAUUCAGGGGACUAAAUGUGAUUUCUUUUCACUGCCCAGUGGCUGGUAAGGAAGGAAGCAUUUUGCAUUUUCAGCUUGUAGGAUGGUUAUUGGUGGUCCUACCAUCUUGCUCAUGUUCAAGUUUGGUCGUGUAGAUGAAGAGCCCAGCUUCCCAGCUCUUAGUUUUUCUUUUCCCUCAGGCCAUUCAUAAUUUAGCUAACAUUCUAGUCCAUUGACCAGCAUGCAUUUUGAAAGGUGAGCUGGCAAGCCUGUAACUGUGUGCAAGGUUGUUCUCAUUUAGGCUCCAGGAAGGAUAUAGUUUCCCCAUAAGAAAGAAAAGUGGGCGAGAGGCUGAGGUGGGAGGUCACUUGAGUCCAGGAGGCAAAGAUUGCAGUGAGCUGAGAACCAUGCCACUCACUGCCUUCCAGCUUGGGUGACAGAGUGAGACCCCAUCUCGAAAAAAAAAAAAAAAAAAAAAGAAAAAGAAAGAAAGAAAGAAAUAAAAGCAAGGAACUAUUUAUAUUAAUCUUUUAAUGAAGGAUUUACCAAUCUGAUAAGUACGAAGCUCCUUUUCCUCCUUCUGAAUGAGUAACUAUGUCAGUCAAUGUUGAGGGUCUGCAGAACCUAUACAAAAAUGCUUUCUUUGGUCUCUCAGUUUUAACACAUGCUGGGGCUUGGGCCUGCCUCUGACAGACUGGGGAGGAGUAGACACAUUCCAGAGACCAGGUCUUGGAGUGUUAUCUCUUCCCCCACCUCAAAUCCUCACCCUCCACUUUAUCUGUCUUUAGCACGAAUGCAGAGACCUCCUAGGGAAGUGUGAAGGGAUGGGUUUUCGUCAGGUUUAGGGAAGGAAGGGGAAUAAGAUGAGCCCCAAAGAAAGAUGGGGGUCAUUUGGAAUUUUUAGAUGACACUCUUUUGUUAUACUUUUCUUGUAUUGUGUAUUAUGUCCUACAAAUCGUGCAUUUGUUACAGUAAGCCACAGUGUGUAUGUGUGUUUGCCAAGUGCUGCUUGGCCAAAACAGUGUUAAAUAAAAUUGUAAGAAAUGCUACCAGGGCCUUGCAUGGGUUAUUUAAUUCUAUCAAUGAUAAACAACGUUAAUGUGUAGCAUCUCAG
Molecule: long non-coding RNA, 6788 nt
Filed under: Homo sapiens (human)
Lineage: Eukaryota; Metazoa; Chordata; Mammalia; Primates; Hominidae
Description: HSALNT0240032
Source: RNAcentral